GGGACUAAAAUAUGUUAGUGAUGAGCCAACUAUCAACAUAGUGUUAACACGAAGACCAUAUAACUCAAAAUUUUACAU
Long non-coding RNA from Maniola jurtina (meadow brown), 78 nucleotides. RefSeq lists it as uncharacterized. Lineage: Eukaryota; Metazoa; Arthropoda; Insecta; Lepidoptera; Nymphalidae. The transcript is spliced from 3 exons. The record is from RefSeq and is a predicted model, not a curated record.